GAUGAACGCUGGCGGCGUGCCUAAUACAUGCAAGUCGAACGAACGGACGAUAAGCUUGCUUCUCUGAUGUUAGCGGCGGACGUGAGUGUAACACGUGUAUAACCUACCUAUAAGACUGGUAUAACUUCGGGAAACCGGAGCUAAUAGCGUAUAAGAUCUUGAACCGCAUGGGUCAAUAGUGAAAGACGGUCGUGCGGUCACUUAUAGAUGGAUCUGCGCUUCAUUAGCUAGUUGGUAAGGUAACGGCUUACCAAGGCGACGAUGCAUAGCCGACGGGAGGGGGUGAUCGCCCACAUGGGAAGUGGACCGCCGUCCAGGGUCCUGAGAGAGGGCGCAGUCGGGUACCGUCCGCAGUGGGGGGGAACCUGGCGGAGCAAGGGCGAGCGAGUGACGGAGACGCUCGGAUCGUAAAGCUCUGUUAUUAGGGAUGAACCUAUUUGUACGUAAAUGUGGACAGCGUGACGGUACCUAAUCAGAAAGCAACGGCUAACUACGUG
Molecule: ribosomal RNA, 497 nt
Filed under: uncultured bacterium
Lineage: Bacteria
Description: partial 16S ribosomal RNA
Rfam family: Bacterial small subunit ribosomal RNA
Source: RNAcentral